RNAcentral lists this long non-coding RNA (5454 nucleotides) under Lactuca sativa (garden lettuce). RNAcentral's name for it is "long non-coding RNA (LSAT_LNC001637)". The record is from RNAcentral. Lineage: Eukaryota; Viridiplantae; Streptophyta; Magnoliopsida; Asterales; Asteraceae.
UACAUACAGUAAUUCUAUAGGACAAAAUUGAUUUUGCAAUCUAACUUAAUAAAAACAGUACAACAGUAAGAAAAAGUUGAAAAUGGAAAAAAAAAAUUGGCGGCGUUUUUAGCAGUGACACGGGUAAAUGAGACAUCAUAUUUGACUACAAAAACAGAUUAUAAACUUUAUAACUAUCACAGGGGUAAAAAUUAUACUUUAUAAUUGUUAAAAAUCAAAAGUUUAUAAAAUACAAUGCUAUAUUAUGCAUAUUCUCUAACGUUGCAUUGUUUAUGUAGUGACAAAGAACAUGGUUUAGCAUGCGGAAUUUAAGUUUGCACAAUUGAACAUAGUGAUUUGGGUGUUUAAGAGAUAUAUUGAAUGUAUAUGGUGUUACACAAAAAGGAUCUAGAUCUAGACUACAUAAUUAACACACACUUACACACUCACUUUUACAUCUCUCAAGCACACCUCUACAAGUGGACAAACCCACUAUUUAUAGAGGUGUUUACAUGUCUCUCUCUCACUCUCUAUCUCUCAUGAGUCAAAAGGAAAAUACUCCACAUGCAAGUGGGUCUACACAAGUCAAACAUUUACAAAGUCAUGAAUGAAUAACUUUGCACCCCAACAUUCUCCCCUUCAAAGUUAGGAAUGAAUGACCCACUUCAAAUCUUCCAAAAUCAAGCACUACGCGGUUCAAGCCUCAAAGGUGACACAUGUCGAAACGAACUUCAAUCUUCAAUUCUUCCAUGACUCUUCAAUUUGGGCUCUAGGAUGUGAGACCAUACAAACCAAGCAGCAACGAAUGAUUAACUCCAAAUAAUCACCCCAAAGUUGCGCAUAAAAACACACCCCAAAAAUCUUCAAUAAACCAAACCCAUUUCGAAUACAUCACUUCCGAACUUCCAAUUGCAUCAUCUCGUAAGCUUCAAAACUUCAAGAUCACUUCGGUCUUCAAAUCCGCGUAAUAUGAAAAAUUCAAGUUCGAAUUUCCAUAUAAAACUUCUCCCCCUUUUUAUAAUCGAAAUUUGAUUAUAAAACCUCCAAGGAAAAAGAACGUGCUCUAUUCGGAAUUUUUCAUGUCAAAACUCCCCCUUAACAUGUGGCAUAAACAUUGUGCUUCAAUCCGAAAAAUCCAAAAAAUAUUGAAUUUUUAGCUUCGUUCACGGAUCGCCUUUGACAAAAUUUCUCAAAAAUGGGUAGAAAUUGUCAAUUUCAAAAUUCUGCAGUGACCCGGUGCGCCAAAAACAGCCAAAUAUGCGAAACACACCCCCAUUUGCGAAACUGGGUAAAAUGUGUAAAUUCGCACAAACUACAGGGACCAGAUUUGAAAAUUCAGCAAUUUCAGCAUUUUAUGACCCCAUUUGCGAAGUUGGGUAUAAACUGUCAAAAAUGCGAAACUACUGGUACUCGUUUUGACAAUUUCUGCAUGUUCUUCAAACUUGCGAAGUUGGGUAACUUGUGUUAUUUCUUGAAAAGAGCAGGGACCAAAUGCGAAACUGUUAACUUUCUUCUUCAUUGAACUGGUAAUAACAGGGAAUGCUUCGCAUUUUCAUUCCCACACCCUUCGCAUCCCUUCGCAUGUUCCACCCAAUUAAUCAAAUGCGAACUCUCAAUUGGAAAAUGCGAACCCGAUUCAUCAGACAAGUGUGUAAAUCAAAAAUAAUUUUGAAUAAUUGCUGAAACUCAUCCAAAUGCGAACUCAUGUUUUUGUUCUGAAAACAGUUUGCAUAAUCAUCCAUGUUUUUGAAUAAUUUUGAAAUUCCAAAUGUGAACUCAACUUUGAUCUCAUAUGCGAACCGUUCUUGACUCCAAAAUUGAUUUCCUUUGGACGCGAACGAACACACAUACAACAUACAGAUCAUCGACUCAACCCCUUAAAUCAAAAUUAACAGUUUGUUUUAACAAAUCAUCGACUCCAAUCAUGCGAAGUCUUCAAUCGUUCAUUCACAGCAAAACAUAGUCGAUCAUUUUUCGUUCAUUCUAUCAUCACCCAUCGACUCCAAACACUCGAACAGUAUGCCCCAAUUCCAAAAUCAAAUUUUCGUUUUACACGCCUCGAUCAUUCCAACUCAUUCAAUCAAACGAUUUCCAAUUCUUCGAUCACGAUCACAGACCGUGGAACAAUUAUCCAACCCUAAAAUUGAAAAUCAAAUCUUCGAACAUCGACUGAUCAAUUUGUAAAUCAAAGACUUUCAAUUCAAAAUCACAAAUCAACAGUUAAAGGUCGAAUCCACCAAAAAUCUCGAUCAACUAGGAGCCUUUGCUUUUGACGAUGAUGAAAGAAAAUUUGAUCUUAGUUUCAGUUCGUCAAUUAGACAUCAAGAACAACAUCUACCAAAAUUUCCAUCAUAACUCCAAGAUCAAAUUUGCAGAUCAUCAAUGGAUAUUACCAAUCGAUUUCACAUCCUUAUUACUCUUUGAUUUUACUUCCAAAACUGAUAUCGAUUUUGAUUAAAAAAAUUUCGUUUGACUUGCGAACGAUCUUUCUAAUCGAUCCAAGCAAAGAAAUCAAAUACAAAUCAUAACUACAACUUAGAGUUUUGAAGAUAAUCAGACUCAAAAUAACAUGUGAAUAGAUUCAUAUUUGAGAUACUAUCGAGUUCAAACACCGAUUACGGAAGAAGAAGAAUGAAUGAAUAAAAGAUCUAAUAGAGUAUGAGCUCAUGAACAGUAACUAAAAUCCAUUUGAGUAUCGAUGAACAGUAACAGAUUAAUUGUUUUUGGGCUUGAAUUUGGGCUAAAUGCAUUGAUCAGAUGAACAUUGGACUUUCAAAUGAUAUAACAAUUGAUUUUCAAAUUUUGUUUUGAGUUUGAUCAAUUAAAAAAAAUUGGAUCAUAACAAAUGGGUUUUUCAAAGAAAAUUUGAUCCAAUGAGUCAAACGAUCACAAAUCAAAAACGCAACGCAUGAAUCAAAUAUUACGAGAGAUCAUAGAGAGAGACUCACCAAAAUUGCUCAAAAUUGUGACAAAAAUUGCCAAACCGAGAAUCGUUCUUCAAAAAUCACCUUGAUCUUGAAGACCCGCUUUGAUACCAAUUGUAGUGACAAAGAACAUGGUUUAGCAUGCGGAAUUUAAGUUUGCACAAUUGAACAUGGUGAUUUGGGUGUUUAAGAGAUAUAUUGAAUGUAUAUGGUGUUACACAAAAAGGAUCUAGAUCUAGACUACAUAAUUAACACACACUUACACACUCACUUUUACAUCUCUCAAGCACACCUCUACAAGUGGACAAACCCACUAUUUAUAGAGGUGUUUACAUGUCUCUCUCUCACUCUCUAUCUCUCAUGAGUCAAAAGGAAAAUACUCCACAUGCAAGUGGGUCUACACAAGUCAAACAUUUACAAAGUCAUGCAUGAAUAACUUUGCACCCCAACAGUUUAAUUCCAUUUAUGUUUAAAAAAUUCAGAAAAAAGAAAGAUAAAAUGCAGAAAUAUGACUUAUUAUAAGGUAGAUUUUAUGAGAGGGGUAAAACAGUCAAAUUUGUUGCAAUAUGUGUAUUUUAUUUCAACACAUAUGCAAAUAUGAAAAUAGUCGAAUCAUAUUUUUUUUAUUUUAUUGAAAGAACUGGUAAAAUCUUUGGAUUUGGUAAUUAUUGUGAUUGGACAAAAUUGUAAUUUGUUUAAAUUAAUCAGAAAUUUGUUAUCUGAAGUGUCUAUGUGUGUAUUUGUUUUAUUAUGAAUAAUGUCAAUUCUGGAUAAAGGUCAUUUUGGUCCUUCUAUUAUGAUUUUUUUUUAUAAACUAAGUCUGGUCUAGAUAACUUGUAAAACAUUUUCUGUUUCAUUGGGGAUCUUCAUGAAAAUAAAUUUAUACGACAAAUCAAGUUGCCUAAGUAGCAUGACAAUUAUAAUACAAUCCAAGUAAAAAUCAACUAUUUUCGUAUAAAAUUAGUUGUCAAGCCGGUUAUAAUAGUCUUUGUUUAUACACCUAAUUAAGACAUAAUAAAAACAAUGAGAAUGGUGUUUUAGGAAACUGAAAAAAUUCAGGGGCAAAUCAGUAAGACAUAGAAAAAGUGUAUACAUUCUUAUGAAAAAAUAGUUAAAAGUAAAAAAUUUAUAAAGUACAACGCAUAUAAUGCAGAAAAAAAAUGUUAAUACGGCAAAAAUGUGGCUUAUUAUAAAAAAAAAUUAUGUAGGGGCAAAAUAGUCAAAUCUGUUGUAAUUUGACUUUUACAAACAUGUCCGUGAGCAUAUUUUGGGUUUAAGAGGUUGAAAAUAAAAUAAAUGUGUUGGACUUAUAAUAUGCUAGUCAUAAUUUAAUAAUACUCAAAUCUGUCUUUAUAUUUUCAUAUUGAAGAUGCUUCCUUUUCGCAACAUCUCCCAGGCUAUUGGAAACUAUUUUUUUAAUUGAUUAAGGAUGUUCAGGAGUUUGAUUCCAAGGUAAAAAUCAUUCAUACUUUUCUGUAAUAUAUAAUAUUAUAUUAUAUAAAAAUUAUAUUUCUAACUUUUUGAUUACUUCUCAUGUUUUAUGUUGUUUCUCAUUUUAGGUUCAACUGUUAAACACAAUCUCUGUGUAAUUGCCUAUGUUUUUGAUAUCAUCCCAUAUGCUCUUGAUUUGGUUCAAUUUUUUUCAGAAGAUAUUUAUUCGAAAUACUACAUGAUCAACUUAUAAGUUUAUUCUUAUUUGUCUAACCGAAAAACUCUCCCUUUUUAUGUCUUUGGGAGGAAUCUUCUGCUGAAAGCCUUCUACAGAUACAAAUUCUAACCGAACUCAAGAACUUCAUAGUUGCACUUGGGUAUAAGUCCCAUAUAUGCUAUAAUGUUCUACUCCCUGUUUUAGUAUUAUGGUGUUUGGUAUUGAUUUAUGGAGGGGCUGUUUAGUACUUAUAACUUGAAAGCAGGGAUUAUUUUUGCGAAUUUGUGUAGGGGUUGUUUGGUAUUUUUCUAUUAUAAAUCAAGGUAAAUAAAUAUCAUAUGUUCUGCAUGUACCUUUCUUUCAAAUAUGAUCAUGUUUAACAUGUAUAUGCAUGGUAAAUCAUUAAACAAACAACUUUGAAUCAAUUAGCUAUGCUCUGAAGCAAAAAUUUACUGAAUUAUAUCAAGUAGAAGAGUAAUUUGAGAAAAAAAAAAGGUACAGGGUCAUACCUGGUUUAGGUAGACAGACUUAAUCAAGAAGCUUUGAUGAAAUUGACAAUUAGAUAAGGGUAUUCCGCCUCCUGGCACCUGUGGAAGAUUAACCGAGAGUAGAGAAAAUAUUUAGCAACUCAAAUCGGAGAGACGAAAUAGCUUGGAAUCGAUUAGGUUAAAUGAAAUUUCAAUUAGCUAUUAUCGCUUGCCUUGAAUAGAAAAGGUACGAAGAUAACUAAGUCUUGGAGCCUUCAAUGGUGUGAAUCGAAACUUUGGAAACGAGAUGAAUAGUACCAAUGAAUGGCACUGUGAGCCUGCUACCUUUAAUGGCAGUGAUUGCCUGAUUCCCGACUUAGGGUUGAGAGGAGUAUGACGUCGAUUGAAAGAUCAGAUGUAAUUGGGUAUAGCGUGC